AUGGAUCCGGUUUUAACGCAGCAGUAAAACCACUAACAGAAAAAUGCCUAAUAUCAGGUUUUUGGAUUGUUAGAAAUUUAGAUAUUUUAAUGUUUGAUUUAAUCUAGAAAAUUACGCAUAAUAUUGUGGUGGCAUAUAUGUGCACGUGUGCAAUUUUAUCACUACUCAGAUUAGAUAUAAACAUUGCAGAUACUACUGUAGACAUACUGAAAAUAAAAGACAAUCAAUUAGGAUUGUACGGAUUGUACCCCGAGGAGGGACCAGUGCCGAAGGAACCGGCGGCUCCAUUCGCACUAGUCGACAUAGUGUGUUGCUUGUAGUAGUAGACCACAGUCGAUGUAGGUAGAUGAUCGCAGUGCAGUCCCGCGAACGUCCACUAGGAAGAAGAUGACGAAGAUGAAGUAGUCGCAGUUCCGAACUCGACCGUCCACCAGGAAGAAGACGAUCCUGAUUCACCGGAGUGGAAGAAGACGAUCUCGCCGGGGAGUAGUCGCGGAAGACGCUCCCCAAAAACCUGAUUGCCCGCAACACCCGAGCAGGUGUCUCGAUGUAAGGCGUCGGGUCAAUGACCCGAGCAAGUGUCUCGAUGCAAGGCCGCAACACCCGAGCAGGUGUCUCGAUGCAAGGCGUUGGGUUCCGGAGGCCGGAGGAAACGUCUAGUUAAUGGUAAUCAAUCACAAUUAAUUGUCAUUAACGAGUCAAUCAAUUAGCAAUUAAUUUUGCACACAAGACAGGCACGGCUCGGCGGCGGCGCACGCGUGUGGCACCCCUUUUCUCUCCCUCAACUUCUCCAUAGGAGCUAACAAAGGCCACCUAUUUAAGUUGAGUUAACAAAUGGUCAAUCAUCAAUACGGUACUAAACCGUUUUCAUUAUAGCAUUAAUUAUGGGCCCUUGAAUUAAUCAUUAAAUAUAAUUAUGGGCUAAAGGCCCAUUAUAUUCAACAGUUUGUUUAUAAUCAAAACUGUUAUAGUGAAAGACCAGGUAAAAAAUCAGACCCAAAAACAGUGAGCAACAGAAAAGUUGCAAAGAGAAAACCUAAGUGGAAACAAAAAUAAAUCUGAAAACAGAAACCGAGCCAAUCACCACCGAUUUGAACAGGAAGAAACGUAAAUAAAACAAAAAAAAAACCAGAGCCAAUCAGCUGAACAAAAAAUAACGAUAGAAACCGAAAAAGAAGAGAAGGGGAAAACACAAUCAACGAGCGGACAAGUAACAGAUAUUAAGACGGGUAGAGAAAAAGAACAUAGGAAAGUACUAGUCUGGACGAAAAAAUUUAUGACAGCAAUUUUAUCACUUUAAUAUUAGAGUAGCAAAGGUGCCUGUGAAUGGGAGAAAAAACAAUACCUCUAUGUUAAUGGACUUGAUUCAACUCAAAUGUUUAUCUCAUCUUUCUCCGUAUCUCAUUAGUGACUCGACAUUGCUAUAGUGACUCAAAAGUUGACUCGACAUUGCAUAGUGAUAAAAAACAUGAAGUAUAGGUGAUACGUACAAGAAAAUAGCCGGACACAACAAUAGUUCAGUCAAAAGUUCAUCAAGUAUGUAAUUACUAACUAGUGGCUUCAACCUAGUUGGUAGUUGCAGAUCAACCAUUAGCACACUCUAGACCUAAGUACAAGUUUACAAGUCUAAAGAACAACAACAAGAUCAUAGCCACACAGACAAAUGAGCAUUAAUUAUAUUACCCUGAACAUGGUGCGGCCACUGCUGAGCUCUGAGAGACGGCAACAUCAGCAGGCAAUGGUGGUGGUGGCUCGAUCAAUCACGCUCGGCAUACCAAAUCUAAUAUCCAGCCGGAGGCAUUGUCAACUAACAACUCAAUGGAUCCGUUGAUGCCUGGACAGGAUGGACAGAAGGCAAACAAGUUAGCGCCGUCGGCUGCUGCAUAGAGAGGUGCAGGAGCUCACCGCCCGAGUUCGUUUGCGUUCGUGGCUAUUACAGGUGCAGCAAGGACCAAGAAGCAAGUGAU
RNAcentral lists this long non-coding RNA (1967 nucleotides) under Sorghum bicolor (sorghum). RNAcentral describes it as "long non-coding RNA (SBIC_LNC009298)". Lineage: Eukaryota; Viridiplantae; Streptophyta; Magnoliopsida; Poales; Poaceae. The record is from RNAcentral.